Molecule: ribosomal RNA, 512 nt
Filed under: uncultured bacterium
Lineage: Bacteria
Description: partial 16S ribosomal RNA
Rfam family: Bacterial small subunit ribosomal RNA
Source: RNAcentral
GACGAACGCUGGCGGCGUGCCUAAUACAUGCAAGUCGAGCGAACCAAUAGGAGCUUGCUCCUGUUGGUUAGCGGCGGACGGGUGAGUAACACGUGGGCAACCUGCCUGUAAGACUGGGAUAACACCGGGAAACCGGUGCUAAUACCGGAUAAUCUUUUUCCUCUCAUGAGGAAAAACUGAAAGUCGGUUUCGGCUGACACUUUCAGAUGGGCCCGCGGCGCAUUAGCUAGUUGGUGAGGUAACGGCUCACCAAGGCGACGAUGCGUAGCCGACCUGAGGGGGGGAUCGGCCACACUGGGACUGAGACCCGGCCCAGACUCCGACGGGAGGCAGCAGUAGGGAAGCUUCCACAAUGGACGAAAGUCUGAUGGAGCAACGCCGCGUGAGCGAUGAAGGCCUUCGGGUCGUAAAGCUCUGUUGUUAGGGAAGAACAAGUACCGGAGUAACUGCCGGUGCCUUGACGGUACCUAACCAGAAAGCCACGGCUAACUACGUGCCAGCCGCCGCGGUAA